Long non-coding RNA from Leopardus geoffroyi (Geoffroy's cat), 432 nucleotides. RefSeq lists it as uncharacterized. The transcript has 2 exons. NCBI's taxonomy places the organism in Eukaryota, Metazoa, Chordata, Mammalia, Carnivora, Felidae. The record is from RefSeq and is a predicted model, not a curated record.
GAGAUUAUGACCUGAGCCAAAAUCAAGAGUCAGACACUUGACCGACUGAGCCACCCAGGUGCCUUAAGGAAAGAAAGAAGUACCAAUAGAUGCUACAAUACAGAUGGACCUUGAAAACAUGCCAAAUGAAAGAAGCCAGGCACAAAAGACCACAUAUUACAUGAUUCUGUCUUUGUGAAACAUCUAGAAUAGGCAAAUCCACAAAGCCAUAAAGUAGAGUAGUGACUGCCAAGGGCUGGGGGUACAUGGGAAUAGGAAGUGACUGCUGACUGACAUGUGAAUUUUUUAGGGCAGUGAAAAUGCUCUGGAAUUAGAUAAUGAUGUUGGUUGCACAACUCUUUCAAUAUACUGAAAACAACUGAAUUGUACAUUCUAAAAUGAUGAAUUUUUUGGACUGUGAAUUCUGUCUCAAUAAAAAGAUUAAAAUCUGCU